RNAcentral lists this ribosomal RNA (374 nucleotides) under uncultured bacterium. RNAcentral describes it as "bacterial SSU rRNA". It matches the Rfam family "Bacterial small subunit ribosomal RNA", at positions 29 to 430 of the family's 1533-position model. The record is from RNAcentral.
AACGAACGCUGGCGGCAUGCCUAACACAUGCAAGUCGAACGAAGCCUUCGGGCUUAGUGGCGCACGGGUGCGUAACACGUGGGAAUCUGCCCUUUGGUUCGGAAUAACAGUUAGAAAUGACUGCUAAUACCGGAUAAUGACGUAAGUCCAAAGAUUUAUCGCCGAAGGAUGAGCCCGCGUAGGAUUAGGUAGUUGGUGGGGGUAAUGGCCCACCAAGCCGACGAUCCUUAGCUGGUCUGAGAGGAUGAUCAGCCACACUGGGACUGAGACACGGCCCAGACUCCUACGGGAGGCAGCAGUGGGGAAUAUUGGGACAAUGGGCGAAAGCCUGAUCCAGCAAUGCCGCGUGAGUGAUGAAGGCCUUAGGUGUUAAG